UUGAACGCUGGCGGCAUGCUUUACACAUGCAAGUCGAACGGCAGCGCGGGGCAACCUGGCGGCGAGUGGCGAACGGGUGAGUAAUAUAUCGGAACGUACCCAAGGGUGGGGGAUAACGUAGCGAAAGUUACGCUAAUACCGCAUACGAUCUAUGGAUGAAAGUGGGGGAUCGCAAGACCUCAUGCUCCUGGAGCGGCCGAUAUCUGAUUAGCUAGUUGGUGAGGUAAAGGCUCACCAAGGCGACGAUCAGUAGCUG
This 256-nucleotide ribosomal RNA is filed under the name uncultured bacterium. RNAcentral describes it as "partial 16S ribosomal RNA". It matches the Rfam family "Bacterial small subunit ribosomal RNA", at positions 30 to 289 of the family's 1533-position model. The record is from RNAcentral.